Molecule: long non-coding RNA, 234 nt
Filed under: Mytilus galloprovincialis (Mediterranean mussel)
Lineage: Eukaryota; Metazoa; Mollusca; Bivalvia; Mytilida; Mytilidae
Source: RNAcentral
GCCUUUUAUAGCUGACUAUGAUGUAUGGGCUUUGCUGAUUGUUGAAGGCCGUACGGUGACCUAUAGUUGUUAAUGUCUGUGUUAUGUUGGUCUCUUGUGGACAUUUGUCUCAUUGGCAAUCAUACAACAUCUUCUUUUUUAUAAUUCUAUUUGAAGUGAUGAUGCAAUGGCGAAAUUUAAAUGCGGUUGCAAAUACGUUUACCGACCUAUUAGAUUCUAAUAUACUGGUCACAC